This is a long non-coding RNA of Lycium ferocissimum, 1702 nucleotides long. RefSeq lists it as uncharacterized. The transcript is spliced from 2 exons. The record is from RefSeq and is a predicted model, not a curated record. NCBI's taxonomy places the organism in Eukaryota, Viridiplantae, Streptophyta, Magnoliopsida, Solanales, Solanaceae.
UUAAGGUCCAUUUUUCAUUGUUAACAAGUUUAUUUAGAGUUUUAACGGAUUAGAACGGAGAAAAUAGCAUUAUAAACUCAUUUGUUGUUUUGUUAGGAUUUAUGGAUUAAGGGGAUGUUUUAGGUGGAUUAAAUGGAUGGAAUUAGCUGAGUUAUGAUGUAUAAUAGUUGUUGAUAUUGUUGUUGAUGUUGUUGAUAAGUUAUUGUUCUUGAAUCUGGGAGAAUAAAGUGUAUAAAGAUAUUGUAUACAAAGCGUAUACCGGGCUGUUUUGUGCCGAUAUUUUGGGCUGUUUUGUGUAAUUUUUGUGGAUGUUUUGUGAAAAUAUUUUGGGACCGUUUUAUGUAAUUUUCGUGGUUGUUUUGUGACAAUCUUUUGGGACUGUUUUAUGUAAUUUUCGUGGCUAUUUUGUGACUAUAUUUUGGAGCUGUUUGGUAUAAUAUUUGUGGCUGUUUUACGAUGAUAUUUUGGGGACUAUUUUAUGGUCAUUAUGGACUAUUUUUUGGGCUAGAAUAUCGGGGGAUUGGCUGUAGUUGUUGCUGUUAUAUUAUGGAUAUACGGAAAUAAAGAAGUGUAUACAAGCAUUGGCAUCCGAAUGUAUAUUGGGCUAUUUUGGGAGUAAUUUAAGAAUGGAUUUAAUUCUAGUUUGAUAUGAAGUUGUUGGUAUUGUUGUUGUUGGUAUUUUUAUUGAUGUUUGGCUAAGUUGGAAUUUUGAGGAUUGUUAAGUUUACAGGGGAAAUGCUGCCCGAAUUUUGUUAAGUUUCAUUCGUACUUGGAUUGGUUAGUAAGUGAUGUGGAUAAUCUAACUGUGGCCUAUGUUAUCUUAAUUUUAGACCUGCGAGCUCGAGAAGUAGACGUUGGACAUUAGAUAGAGUUCAAGGUGAGGCAGGAUAUCAAUGAAUGUUCCAUAAUGACAUCGGAAGCCACCGACCUUACGUCACUCCGAUAUAGUUAUGGCUUUUGAUUGGGCUCUUAUGCAUGCUUUAUAUAUAUGUAUGUAUUUUCUCACACCACGCCGCGGUAUAGUCGGCCGGGCAGGCACGUAGAUGUGCACACCACUAUAGUGGGCAGCUUAUACCCCGGACGCGGGAGGCCUGGACGCAGGCUAUGAUUAUCACACCGCUCCUACAUGGACGGGCAGCUUAUACAUUAUCACACCUUACCUAUAUGGACGGGCAGCUUAUAUAUGUAUACAUACGUGACAUGAUAAUGAUUAUGAGUAAGUCAGCAUGCAUUAUUUCAGUUAUAUUUGAUAGCUAGUACAGAUUGCUCUUUCUUGAUGCCUCCUUAUCUCAUUGAUGCCUUCAUAUUUCAUUGAUAUAUUGUUACUGUUUAUGCCUCUCAUACUCAGUACAAUAUUCGUACUGACGUCCGUUUUCUUCGGACGCUGUGUUCAUGCCCACAGGUAGACAGAGAGGUGAGCUUGAUCCAGAUUCUUAGUAGCUGUCAGCUGAUUGAGAGCACUCCAUUGUUCGGAGGUGCUUAUGUUUAUUCUUUUUGUUCUUUUAUGUAUUUCGCGCACGACGGAGUCUUAUUCCGUCUAUAUGUAUAAUAUGUCAGUAGAGGCUCGUAGACGCGCAGUGUGGGUUAGAUGGUCUUACAAGAUUACUAUGUUAUAUUUGUAUAUGUUAUUUUGAUGGCCUAAGGGGCACAUGUAUAUAAAAUCAUUUGUAUUGUCAAAUGAAAAAUGGUUGUCUUAUGAUUA